UAGGGAAUCUUCGGCAAUGGACGAAAGUCUGACCGAGCAACGCCGCGUGAGUGAAGAAGGUUUUUGGAUCGUAAAACUCUGUUGUUAGAGAAGAACAAGGACGUUAGUAACUGAACGUCCCCUGACGGUAUCUAACCAGAAAGCCACGGCUAACUACGUGCCAGCAGCCGCGGUAAUACGUAGGUGGCAAGCGUUGUCCGGAUUUAUUGGGCGUAAAGCGAGCGCAGGCGGUUUCUUCAGUCUGAUGUGAAAGGCCCCGACUCAACCGGGGAGGGUCAUUGGAAACUGGGAGAAUUGAGUGCAGAAGAGGAGAGUGGAAUUCCAUGUGUAGCGGUGAAAUGCGUAGAUAUAUGGAGGAACACCAGUGGCGAAGGCGGCUCUCUGGUCUGUAACUGACGCUGAGGCUCGAAAGCGUGGGGAGCAAACAGG
Molecule: ribosomal RNA, 429 nt
Filed under: Gemmatimonadota bacterium
Lineage: Bacteria; Pseudomonadati; Gemmatimonadota
Description: Gemmatimonadetes bacterium partial 16S ribosomal RNA
Rfam family: Bacterial small subunit ribosomal RNA
Source: RNAcentral